AUACUGAAUCCCGCAGCCACGAUCCAGCAUGAGGCAGCGUUAACUUCCUCCAGCCCUACCCUCGCUCGCGAUCUCCGAUCGCUGUCUCGGCUCUUCUUUGCCUCGCCGCCAGUGCGCCACCAGCUCCCUGCCUCAACAGCGCCCCCGCCUCUCUGUCAGUUUGGCUUGACCUUGCUUUGGUGGAUUUUCCCUAUUGGAAUUCGUCCAGGAGGCACUUUUGGAUCCACUCCGGGCUGCCCUGUACCUGGAUUGUUUUUUGUUGUCUAUUUUUUCCCUUUUUGAAUUUCAAGACUAUUAACUAAACUGACUUUUGGGCACCUGCAAACUGAGUCCAAGUCUCGUACUGACAAUUGCUGCAUGGUCACCCUGUGGAAUUUACUGAGACACAAUGUAAUGAAAGUCAUGAUGUAAUGAAAUGUAAUGAAAGUCAUGAUGAUGACAUUGCUCAUAUUCCUUUUAAGCUAAAUUAUUAUGGCUUUCUGUACUGCUGCUUGGUAAAUGAUAGAGUCUAGCUCAACAAAAUUAAAAUUAUUAAUUUCAUGUGCAGACUGAGAAUGUUUGACAAGUUUGACAAUGACACAUUGUUCCUUUACCUACUACAGUGACAAGAUGUUUUUCCUAGAAUUACUUUAUGAAUCCUCUUGGACUUUACUUUUUUUCAUGAAUACUGUGGCUGCUUAUUUAAACAGUCUAUAACAGAUGUAUAAAUGCAUAACAAACUUUGCUAAACAUUAAUGCUAAGGUUUUCAUAGAUUUAAAAAU
Molecule: long non-coding RNA, 762 nt
Organism: Cyprinus carpio carpio
Lineage: Eukaryota; Metazoa; Chordata; Actinopteri; Cypriniformes; Cyprinidae
Source: Ensembl